AUGUGUUUAUUCUGUCUUCGCCGCCUUUUGCAGAGUCAGCUGCUGAAUACGGGUGAUGAUAUGAUGGCCUCGUCUUUACCAGAAUCAUCCAAAUUUGCUCGCUGGUUUUGCCAUGAAGAGGACUUGCCAUCAAUGAGCCAGCUCUCCAUGAUUGUCAAAAAGGAAAAUCCAGGUCCACAAAACAUAGCUCGUGGUCCAACUUUGUCUGAUGGUGCUAUUCAGAAUUUAUCUUCAAAACUAACUACCGAUAAAUUCGAUACUACAUCAAAGUUACCAUCAUUUCCGUCUCCCGAACAGUACAGCGAUGCUGGUAUCCCAGAGCCAGCUCCAGUUGUGAUGAAGUGUGAGGAUCUAGAGCAGGCGAUGCUGACACAGGUUGCUAGCAAUAGCAGUUCUACUCAGCAGACUAGAGAGGCAUCAGGUUGGUUUGGACGAGCCAACCGCCAUGCAGAAAAUAGCUGUAGACAAUCAUGCAUCGCAUCACCUUCCAUUAUUACAGUAUAG
RNAcentral lists this ribosomal RNA (504 nucleotides) under Triticum aestivum (bread wheat). Its description in RNAcentral is "partial small subunit ribosomal RNA". Lineage: Eukaryota; Viridiplantae; Streptophyta; Magnoliopsida; Poales; Poaceae. The record is from RNAcentral.